CAAAACGCCGAGAAGAGGACGAGUACCGUCCCCGCCCCUGCGCAGAGAGCCGCCGUUUUGGUGCAAGGCGGACAGGGAAGGGCUGGGAAGAUCACCUCCGAGCGUCCCGCCGAAUCCCCCCUGGGGCAGUAAGCGGGAACGGCUGGCCCCGUUACCGGCCUUCGAGGGGCCGCGGCACGCCGCGGCAAUGAGAGUGGUACCGCAGAGGUUUGCGCCUUUGUCUCUUAC
RNAcentral lists this non-coding RNA (228 nucleotides) under Flavonifractor plautii. RNAcentral describes it as "T-box sequence". It matches the Rfam family "T-box leader". From Rfam's summary of the family: Uncharged tRNA acts as the effector for transcription antitermination of genes in the T-box leader family. T-boxes are found upstream of many aminoacyl-tRNA synthetase genes and some amino acid biosynthetic genes usually in Gram-positive bacteria. The anticodon of a specific tRNA base pairs to a specifier sequence within the T-box motif, and the NCCA acceptor tail of the tRNA base pairs to a conserved bulge in the T-box antiterminator hairpin. The record is from RNAcentral. Lineage: Bacteria; Bacillati; Bacillota; Clostridia; Eubacteriales; Oscillospiraceae.